UCUCUGUCCCCUACUCUCUCUCGCCUCUCCUCUCUGUCUCCCUCCUCCUUUCCUUUGUCCCUCGCCUCCCUCCUUGGUGUAAGCGCAUGGCAGGGCAGCAGAAUCGGUAAUGAAGAAAGCGCUCAAUUUAGCCUCCUCAGCCGCGCGCUCCUCUGAGAUGUGCUUCCUGCCUGCCUCUCUGCCUGGGUGCAGCGAGGCGGGGUGCUGUGAGUGGCUGAGCUAGAGCUGACAUCACAGGGGCCAGCUGUUUGAUUGGUGCUGUCUCUGAGCUGGGGCGAGUCACUGGCUCCGUCAGGCGCCUACUGAGGGCUCUGGGCAGGUAGACACACACACACACGAACCCACAACGAUAGGAGGCUGUGUGAGACUACUGCUGCUGCAGGGAGCGAGUCGCUCCGAGCAGCUACAUCCUCCUCAACCAAUGCUGCCUUGGGUACUACGCGACUCCUCCAACAGCUUGCAAUGAACAUAAGGAGGGCUGCUAUGUGGCAGGUCUGUGAUGGCCAUGAGCAGCUUGGAGGGCAGUGCCACCGAGGCCGUUCAGAUCUGGACACCAGAGACUCCGAGCUGGUGCUAAGGACAUGGGACUCUCCCUCAGAGUUAGCGACAGGCUCAGCAGCACGAGACGUUACAGUGACAAACCAGCGGUGGCGCAGGACUGCUGCCCCCAGAGCCUUCUCACCCUCUGUAGGACGUCACCACCACAGGCCCAGGAGCACCCAGACCCCAGUAACAGCAGUGUUGUAUAGAGACCUCUCUGUAAGCUGUGCGUCUGAUGAGGAUUGUCUGAUCUGUUACUGUAAAGGACAUCAGUAGGACUGAGACCAUGAAGUUUGGUGAUGCUGGAGUGGAGCUGGAGGCAGCAGACUGGACCGGAACCACAAACUUAGGAGCAGACAGCAGACGGACGGUGUGAAGGAACAAUCCCAAACAGGCUGGGAGCCUGGUGCUGGAACACAAUGCCACCGGUCACCAAGACGGAAGCUGCUGUGACAACAGAGGGAAACGUCACAGAUAUCCCAGUCCUUUGAUAAGGAGGAGCUGUCUGCCAAGGAGGAGAAAGAGAAGGUGGAGAAACCAGAGAAGAUGCCCAGGAAAAUGCUCUCAGAGAUUCCAGCCAGGACACACAGACUCUACUGAAUAGACCUGCAUGAGUUCCUGGUCAACACCCUAAGAAAACCCAGAGACAGAAUGAUGCUGUUGAAGUUGGAGCAGGACAUUCUGGAUUUAUCAGUAAUAAUGAAAGCCAGAAGAGGAAGUUCCCUCCCAUGACGUCGUACCAUAGAAUGCUGCUACACCGAGUGGCUGCCUACUUUGGCAUGGAUCACAAUGUUGACCCCACCGGGAAGUCUGUCAUCAUCAACAAAACUAGCAAUACAAGAAUACCAGAUAAAAAAUUCUCAGAACACAUAAAAGACGACAAAACAGACGAUUUC
Non-coding RNA from Salvelinus sp. IW2-2015, 1436 nucleotides. The record is from RefSeq and is a predicted model, not a curated record. NCBI's taxonomy places the organism in Eukaryota, Metazoa, Chordata, Actinopteri, Salmoniformes, Salmonidae.